Protopterus annectens (West African lungfish) is the source of this 106-nucleotide small nuclear RNA. Lineage: Eukaryota; Metazoa; Chordata; Ceratodontiformes; Protopteridae. The record is from RefSeq and is a predicted model, not a curated record.
GCUCAUACACUAAAACUGGAAUUAAAUCAAAAUGAUACAGAGAAGAUUAGCAUGGCCCUAUGGAGGCAAGGAAGAAAUAUGAAUUCAUGAAGCAGUCCAUACUUUC